CUAGCCGACAUUCACCUAUCCCAGACCCUGCGUAAAGCGGGAGCCUUGUGCACUGGGUACGAUCUUUUUUUUUUAUUUGAGCUCCUAGCCUCCUACAUGGUUGAUUUGAUCAAUAAUCUAAAUAACACGCAUAAAUCAGAAGCAAACUAUAUAAAAUGAAGAUUGAAGAUAACUUAAUGCCGCAGAAGCAUUCCCAAAUUGGUGUUCUCGUUUAGGAAUUAAUAACAGAUAGAAAAUGAAAAAGAUUAGAAAACAAAAACACAAAUCCUAUAAGCAAAUAUCAUAUAACCUUAACCUGACAAUUUCAUUAGUAACAUGACCCUAAUUUCAAUUGAUUAAACAUAGGAAUUGAUUGAUGUGGUGCAAAGACUCACAAUCGAUUAUGACUAUAAAACCAUAACUGCAUUUUCAUUGCAGUUUUUUAGAAAUAAAAGUUAAAAGUAAUUAAAAUUCAAAAAGUGAAUUAAUCAUCCUCAAACCGGGGCAGCCCAGAAAGAAAUUACAAACCUAACUUAGAUUCUCAACCAAAUUCAUUACCUAAAAUCCCUCAAAAUUACAGUGGUAGAACAAAUCUAAGAAAAGCACCAUAAAAUUGAAACUAAACAAAAAGCUACGGGAAAAGAAUAGGUAGAUAGAGAAUGAGAACUUACCUAAAGUUUUAGAGAACGAAAUGCAGAGAAGCAGACGAAUCGACGGCGAUGUCGAGCACACGGAGCGACGGCGAUGUCGAGCAUACGGAGUGACGACGAGCAGGUGGAGAGAGAUCGGAGAGCAGAGAGUUACGAUUUCAAAGAGAAGCGGAGGGGUGGGCUAUCUACAGUUAAGAUUAGGGUUCAAUGAAAAUACAAUGAUUUUUAAAGGGGGAAUUUUU
Molecule: long non-coding RNA, 871 nt
Filed under: Malus domestica (apple)
Lineage: Eukaryota; Viridiplantae; Streptophyta; Magnoliopsida; Rosales; Rosaceae
Description: long non-coding RNA (MDOM_LNC016903)
Source: RNAcentral